GAUGAACGCUGGCGGCGUGCCUAAUACAUGCAAGUCGAGCGAAUAGACGAGGAGCUUGCUCCUCCGACGUUCUCGGCGGACGGGUGAGUAACACGUGGCUAACCUACCUAUAAGACUGGGAGAGCUUCGAGAAACCGGUGCUCAUACCGGAUAAUAUCUUGAACCACAUGGUUCAGUAGUGAAAGACGGUUUUGCUGUAACUUAUAGAUGGGUCCGCGCCGCAUUAGCUAGUUGGUAAGGUAACGGCUUACCAAGGCAACGAUGCGAACCCGACCUGAGAGGCUGGUCGGCCACCCGGGAAGUGAGACACAGCCCAGACUCCUACGGUAGGCAGCAGUAGAGAAUCUUCCGCGAUGCGCGAGAGCCUGACGGAGCAACACCGCGUGAGGGAUGAACGUGUUAGGCCCGGAAAACGCUGUUGUUAGUGAAGAACAAAUGCGUAAGUGACGAUGCACAUACUGACGGUACCUAAUCAGAAAGCCCCGGCUAACUCCGUG
This 497-nucleotide ribosomal RNA is filed under the name uncultured bacterium. RNAcentral's name for it is "partial 16S ribosomal RNA". It matches the Rfam family "Bacterial small subunit ribosomal RNA", at positions 28 to 507 of the family's 1533-position model. The record is from RNAcentral.